CUACGGGCGGCAGCAGUCAAGAAUAUUCCACAAUGCGCGAAAGCGUGAUGGAGCGACGCCGCGUGCAGGAUUAAGGCCCUCGGGUCGUAAACUGCUUUUAUAGGGGACGAAUUCGUGACGGUACCCUAUGAAUAAGAGGUUGCUAACUCUGUGCCAGCAGCAGCGGUAAUACAGAGACCUCAAACGUUAUCCGGAUUUAUUGGGCGUAAAGCGUCCGCAGGUGGUUUAGCAAGUUAAUGGUCAAAUCUCAAGGCUCAACCUUGGGACUGCUACUAAUACUGCUAAACUAGAGGCCGGGAGAGGCAAGCGGAACUACCGGUGUAGUCGUAAUAAGCGUUGAUAUCGGUAGGAACACCAAAGGCGAAGGCAGCUUGCUAGAACGUGCCUGACACUCAGGGACUAAAGCGUGGGUAGCGAAUGGGAUUAGAUACCCCAGUAGUC
This 441-nucleotide ribosomal RNA is filed under the name uncultured bacterium. RNAcentral's name for it is "partial 16S ribosomal RNA". It matches the Rfam family "Bacterial small subunit ribosomal RNA", at positions 339 to 795 of the family's 1533-position model. The record is from RNAcentral.